RNAcentral lists this transfer RNA (68 nucleotides) under Marmota marmota marmota (Alpine marmot). It matches the Rfam family "tRNA". From Rfam's summary of the family: Transfer RNA (tRNA) molecules are approximately 80 nucleotides in length. Lineage: Eukaryota; Metazoa; Chordata; Mammalia; Rodentia; Sciuridae. The record is from Rfam by way of RNAcentral. RNAcentral also lists the same sequence under 2 other names.
GGGGUUGUAGCUCAGUGGUAGAGCACUUGCCUAGCAUGUGUGAGGCACUGGUUUAAUCCUCAGCACCA